GCUGGGCAUGGUGGUGUGUGCCAGUAGUCCCAGCUACUUGGGAGGCUGAGGCAGGGGGAUCACUUGAGGCCAGGAGUUCAAGGCUGCAGUGAGCCAUGAUUGUGCCACUGCACUCUAGCCUGGGCAACAGAGUAAGAUCCUGUCUCUA
Unclassified non-coding RNA from Pongo abelii (Sumatran orangutan), 148 nucleotides. It matches the Rfam family "Metazoan signal recognition particle RNA". Rfam says of the family: The signal recognition particle (SRP) is a universally conserved ribonucleoprotein. It is involved in the co-translational targeting of proteins to membranes. The eukaryotic SRP consists of a 300-nucleotide 7S RNA and six proteins: SRPs 72, 68, 54, 19, 14, and 9. Lineage: Eukaryota; Metazoa; Chordata; Mammalia; Primates; Hominidae. The record is from Ensembl.